CCAUCUCUUUCUGUACUGGAGGGGCACUAGGUGAUAAAUUCAACUCUUAGCGAAGCCCAUUGGCCAAACACCAAGUACAUGUUGUCCCAGAGCUUUUAUAGUGUUUAUUGUUCCGUUUUCAGUGACGUGUACAGUUUCUGAUACCUGCCCUUAAUCACUCGAGAGUUACAUUAUCAUCCGUCACCUCUACACUUCAGGCUGGCUGAUUGCCUGAGCGUCCUUUAAGUCUAUUCACACAAAGCAUCCAAGACCCUAAAUCAUCCGUAGGCCUACGUUUCCCGCUCUUCUGGCACAUGGACAGGACUCCCAAACAGUUAACAUCCAGGACGAUUGACAAUGACGCGACAAGUGACACAAGAGACACACAACUUAAAUAAACUAGGGAGGUGCAGGUGAUUGGACACAGGUGGAAACUAUCAGACGAUCACAGGGGAUGACAGGACAAGGCAGGAAGUGAAGUUACCCGGUUACUCUAGAAGCAACCAACAUCUGCCUCAAGUCUUCGAGAAUAAACAAUCGUCCACGUCCACACUGCAUUAACUUCCCAGGAGACCCCUGCCAACCUGUCAGUGUGUUUACAUGAUGGUAUAAUUCGAAUCUUCGAGUCGGCCUAUGCCAUCUUUCGGGGGAAGGUGCUAUUAUCCCAAUACGUGAAUAAAUCAAAUCAUUGGCCGAAAGCAUGUCAUAUCCAAUACGAUAGGUGGCGCUGUUUUCAUUACAACUAGUUGUGAUACAGCCAUUUCCGCUUGACCUCUGCACCACUACCAACAACAACAACAUCAACAUUACACGAAAGAUGGCGAACGGAGAGCAAGGUGAAGCUACAUCCCUCUACUAUUUUUGCAUGAUGUUAAUAGGAGUACAGCGAAUGCGAAUGGCGCUAUUGGCUGAUUUGAUAACGGAGAGAAGACGCCGUCGCCGAAGGUACAUGGAGAAUUUAAUUCUGACCAACAAUAUAUUGUUGAACUCUUCCAUUGUACCGCAAAGGUCUCGAAGAGCACUCUGGAUGAAGAGCAGAAACAAAGGCUUCUGGGAGAGAGAUGUUUCGACCGUAUUUGAUGACAAAGACUGGAAAGCGAAGUUUCGCAUGACUUGAGGAUCUUUCCACAAGUUGUGUGGAAUUAUGGAAGGAGUCAUGAAGCACGCGGAGGUGACUGUUCGAGCACCAAUACCGCUGUCCUCCAAGGCGUAGUGGACGACAUGUGUCGGUAAGUUUGGGCAAAAUACAUUACGUUUGUCUGCACUGUGCAACGUGUAAGCUUACUAACUGAUAUGUUCAAUUCACCGCAACCUCAGGCCUGCGUGUGCGUGUUUGUGUGUGUGUCCUGUGUCGCAUACAUAUAUUCACGUGUGUGUUACAGUGUGUCGUGUGUGCCAUUAAAACCUGACAAAUUGUUCUCUUUAAGCUUCUGGAGCAUCAACUGUAAGAUGCCUGGGUGUGCUCAUGACGCUAACGUGCUGAGGCAAUCGACGUUCAGCCAGGCACACCUGUUACCAAAAGAACCAAGAUAAAUCGAUGACGUCUCAAUCGGUAACUUCCUGUUGGGAGAUCCAGCGUAUCCUCUCAUGGACUGGAUCGUGAAAGGCUACCCCCAUUCCCCAGAGCAAGAGUCCUUCAAGGUCUACUUAAGCUCUACAAGGACCACGGUGGAGAUUGCGUUUGGGAGACUGAAGUCACGCUGGAGAGUUUUGAUGAAGCGUAGUGACUUCUACUUUACAUUCACCCCUAAAGUGAUUGCUACCAGUUGUGCAUUGCACAAUUUCUGUGAGAAUGAGAAGGAAGUUGUGAAUCCCAACUGGUCAGUGGAAGCGGCUACACAGCCAGGUGGUCGUGCCAACAAUCACGCAGACGUGAGUGCAAACUUCCCCCCGCGCAGACCAUACCUUUAGACGUCUUCAUUACAUAAUUGCCAG
Molecule: long non-coding RNA, 1914 nt
Organism: Gasterosteus aculeatus aculeatus (three-spined stickleback)
Lineage: Eukaryota; Metazoa; Chordata; Actinopteri; Perciformes; Gasterosteidae
Source: Ensembl